GCGCGAGUGGCGGAACUUAGUAUACGCGUACGCUUGAGGGGCGUAUGGUCUUAUGAUCGUGCAGGUGCAAGUCCUGUCUCGCGCACCA
This 88-nucleotide transfer RNA is filed under the name Candidatus Kaiserbacteria bacterium CG10_big_fil_rev_8_21_14_0_10_45_20. RNAcentral describes it as "tRNA-Leu". Lineage: Bacteria; Candidatus Kaiseribacteriota. The record is from RNAcentral.